AUUGAACGCUGGCGGCAGGCCUAAUACAUGCAAGUCGAGCGGAUGAAGGGAGCUUGCUCCUGGAUUCAGCGGCGGACGGGCGAGUAAUGCCUAGGAAUCUGCCUGGUAGUGGGGGAUAACGUCCGGACACGGGCGCUAAUACCGCAUACGUUCUGAGGGAGAAAGUGGGGGAUCUUCGGACCUCACGCUAUCAGAUGAGCCUAGGUCGGAUUAGCUAGUUGGUGAGGUAAAGGCCUACCAAGGCGACGAUCCGUAACUGGUCUGAGAGGAUGAUCAGUCACACUGGAACUGAGACACGGUCCAGACUCCUACGGGAGGCAGCAGUAGGGAAUAUUGGGCAAUGGGCGAAAGCCUGAAGCAGCCAUGCCGCGUGUGUGAAGAAGGUCUUCGGAUUGUAAAGCACUUUAAGUAGGGAAGAAGAGAAGUAAGUGAAUACCUUGCUGUUUUGACGUUACCAACAGAGAAAGCACCGGCUAACUUCGUG
RNAcentral lists this ribosomal RNA (484 nucleotides) under uncultured bacterium. Its description in RNAcentral is "partial 16S ribosomal RNA". It matches the Rfam family "Bacterial small subunit ribosomal RNA", at positions 30 to 507 of the family's 1533-position model. The record is from RNAcentral.